GAUGAAGAACGCAGCGAAAUGCGAUACUUGGUGUGAAUUGCAGAAUCCCGUGAACCAUCGAGUCUUUGAACGCAAGUUGCGCCCGAAGCCAUUAGGCCGAGGGCACGCCUGCCUGGGCGUCACACGUCGUUGCCCCCCCCAUCUACUCCUUCGGGAUUGCGGGGGGCGGAUGAUGGCCUCCCGUGCGCCUCGCCGCGCGGUUGGCAUAAAUGCCAAGUCCUCGGCGACGCACGCCACGACAAUCGGUGGUUGCGAAACCGCGGUUGCCCGUCGUGUGCGGUCGUCGCGCAUCGAGGGCUCGAAAAAAUUGCCGAGUUCCGGCUCGGCUUUCAACGCGACCCCAGGUCAGGCGGGGUUACCCGCUGAAUUUAAGCAUAUCAAUAAGCGGAGGA
RNAcentral lists this unclassified non-coding RNA (392 nucleotides) under soil metagenome. RNAcentral's name for it is "partial contains 5.8S ribosomal RNA, internal transcribed spacer 2, and large subunit ribosomal RNA". The stretch from base 1 to 122 matches the Rfam family "5.8S ribosomal RNA", at positions 35 to 154 of the family's 154-position model. The record is from RNAcentral.